AUCAACUUUCGAUGGUAGGAUAGAGGCCUACCAUGGUGGUAACGGGUAACGGGGUGUUAGGGCACGACACCGGAGAGGGAGCCUGAGAAACGGCUACCACAUCCAAGGAUGGCAGCAGGCGCGCAAAUUACCCAAUCCCGACACGGGGAGGUAGUGACAAUAAAUAACAAUACGGGGUUCUUUCGGAUUUCGUAAUUGGAAUGAGUACAAUUUAAAUCUCUUAACGAGGAACAAUUGGAGGGCAAGUCUGGUGCCAGCAGCCGCGGUAAUUCCAGCUCCAAUAGCGUAUAUUAAAGUUGCUGCAGUUAAAAAGCUCGUAGUUGAAUUUCGGGACCAAUAUGUCGGUCGUGCCUCGGUACGUACUGGCAUCGUUGGUUUCUCCCUUCUGACGAACCAUGAUGUCAUUCAUUUGGUGUCGUGGGGAAUCAGGACUGUUACUUUGAAAAAAUUAGAGUGUUUAAAGCAGGCUCACGCUCGAAUACAUUAGCAUGGAAUAAUGAAAUAGGACGUUUGAUUCUAUUUUGUUGGUUUCUAGGAUCGACGUAAUGAUUAAUAGGGAUAGUUGGGGGCAUUAGUAUUCAAUUGUCAGAGGUGAUAUUCUUGGAUUUAUUGAAGACUAACUACUGCGAAAGCAUUUGCCAAGGAUGUUUUCAUUAAUCAAGAACGAAAGUUAGGGGAUCGAAGACGAUCAGAUACCGUCGUAGUCUUAACCAUAAACUAUGCCGACUAGGGAUCGGAUGAUGUUAAUUUUUUAAUGACUCAUUCGGCGCCUUACGGGAAACCAAAGUGUUUGGGUUC
Molecule: ribosomal RNA, 798 nt
Filed under: uncultured Glomus
Lineage: Eukaryota; Fungi; Glomeromycota; Glomeromycetes; Glomerales; Glomeraceae
Description: SSU rRNA
Rfam family: Eukaryotic small subunit ribosomal RNA
Source: RNAcentral